CUCUAGCAUAGAUAGUAUUAGAGGCACUGCCUGCCCAGUGACAUACGUUAAACGGCCGCGGUAUCCUAACCGUGCAAAGGUAGCAUAAUCACUUGUUCCUUAAAUAGGGACUUGCAUGAAUGGCCAAACGAGGGUUUAUCUGUCUCUUACUUUUAAUCAGUGAAAUUGACCUUCCCGUGAAGAGGCGGGAAUAAACAAAUAAGACGAGAAGACCCUACGGAGCUUAAGUUUAUUUAACCCAAGUAAAUCCUACAAUACUCUACAAGAGACAAACCCCUUACCUAUGGGUUAAAACUUUGGUUGGGGUGACCUCGGAGUAUAACUUAGCCUCCGAAUGAUCUUAAUCUAGACCUAACCUGUCCAAAUUUAAAUUCAUAAAUUGACCCAAUAUAUUUGAUCAACGGAACAAGUUACCCUAGGGAUAACAGCGCAAUCCUACCCAAGAGUCCAUAUCGACAGUAGGGUUUACGACCUCGAUGUUGGAUCAGGACAUCCAAAUGGUGCAACCGCUAUUAAAGGUUCGUUUGUUCAACGAUUAAAGUC
Molecule: ribosomal RNA, 543 nt
Filed under: Hyosciurus heinrichi (montane long-nosed squirrel)
Lineage: Eukaryota; Metazoa; Chordata; Mammalia; Rodentia; Sciuridae
Description: partial 16S ribosomal RNA
Rfam family: Bacterial large subunit ribosomal RNA
Source: RNAcentral